GACAGCUGAAUGAUAGUCGGGCUGAAGACUCUACUUGACUAGCUGAGAGAGGUGCAUGGCCGUCGUCAGUUCGUACUGUGAAGCAUCCUGUUAAGUCAGGCAACGAGCGAGACCCACGCCAACAGUUGCCAGCUCGUCCUCCGGGAUGUGGGGACACUGUUGGGACCGCCUCUGCUAAAGAGGAGGAAGGAAUGGGCAACGGUAGGUCAGCAUGCCCCGAAUUAUCUGGGCUACACGCGGGCUACAAUGGGUGGGACAAUGGGUAUCGACACCGAAAGGUGAAGGCAAUCUCCUAAACCCAUCCGUAGUUCGGAUUGUGGGCUGCAACUCGCCCACAUGAAGCUGGAAUCUGUAGUAAUCGUGUCUCAAAAUGGCACGGUGAAUAUGUCCCUGCUCCUU
This 399-nucleotide ribosomal RNA is filed under the name uncultured Methanomicrobiales archaeon. RNAcentral describes it as "bacterial SSU rRNA". It matches the Rfam family "Archaeal small subunit ribosomal RNA", at positions 938 to 1338 of the family's 1478-position model. Lineage: Archaea; Methanobacteriati; Methanobacteriota; Methanomicrobia; Methanomicrobiales. The record is from RNAcentral.